Parelaphostrongylus tenuis is the source of this 73-nucleotide non-coding RNA. NCBI's taxonomy places the organism in Eukaryota, Metazoa, Nematoda, Chromadorea, Rhabditida, Metastrongylidae. The record is from the annotation of a GenBank genome assembly.
GUCUCGGUGGUGUAGUGGUAGAUCACGCGUCCUCUGAUAGGAUGAAACGCGGAUUCGAUUCCCACCUGAGGCC